This 312-nucleotide ribosomal RNA is filed under the name Triticum aestivum (bread wheat). Its description in RNAcentral is "partial small subunit ribosomal RNA". The record is from RNAcentral. Lineage: Eukaryota; Viridiplantae; Streptophyta; Magnoliopsida; Poales; Poaceae.
AUGCGAGAUCGACGGUGGCCUUCUACAUCACGCGGGGGCCAUGGCCGGUCACCGCCUGGUGGGUGCUGGCUCGAAGGUGACGAGCUACAAUCCCAGAGAAUCAGGGCUGACCUAAAGCUACCGAUCAGCGUGGAGGAUGCCGGACGGAGUGCUGAGGAGUUUGCAAUAGCUGAAUCAAAGGGAGUGCCACUUGUCCAUGUUGGUCAGGACACACGCUUGGACUAUCGAGUUAUUGAUGUUCGAACACUAGCAAAUCAAGCCAUUUUCCGUAUACAGCAUCAUGUUGAAAACAUUGCUCUUAAAUAUGGAUGA